GGGAUUCCCGUGUACCCCGCAAACUCCAUUAUUAAAUCACAUAGGGAAUUCCCAUGUACCCCAUAAGGUUUUCAUUAUAUAAUCACUUGGGGGAUUCUUGUGACCCAACAAGGUUUUCAAAACCUUUCAUAACUAUUUAACCAUUCCAUAAGUCACAAGUUUAGAGAAAGUUACCAUUAUCAAGUUCCACCACCAUACCCAUGCACCCACAUGUUCAAAACCAUAUUUCAAACAUGGAAAACAUAAUUAAACCAUGGGAAAACAUCAUUAAACAUUAAGCAUUCAAAGACCCC
This 293-nucleotide long non-coding RNA is filed under the name Capsicum annuum. RNAcentral's name for it is "long non-coding RNA (CANN_LNC011135)". The record is from RNAcentral. Lineage: Eukaryota; Viridiplantae; Streptophyta; Magnoliopsida; Solanales; Solanaceae.